GCCAAACACGAGGGACCAAUUGCUGAGGCAUAUAUUGACAAAGAAUGCCUGACUUUUUGUUCGAUGUAUCUCAAAAGGGUUGAGACAGUGUUUAAUCGAGAUGAACGGAAUUACGAUGGCAGUCGAGGAAAUAAAGGUUUCACAUUGAUUGCAAUCUAGCUUCCCUUUUGGAUUCAGAUUUCUUUUGGGAUUUUGAUAUGUGUAUGCAAUUAACAUUGUGUAAUAUUGGAUUUAUAUAUUAGGAUUUUGAUAUAUGUUGGAAUUAUCAUUUUAGAUGAUUUGCACAUUUUAAUAUCUAAAUUCUUAAUGGAAUAUGUGUUUUAUC
Molecule: long non-coding RNA, 325 nt
Organism: Cornus florida
Lineage: Eukaryota; Viridiplantae; Streptophyta; Magnoliopsida; Cornales; Cornaceae
Exons: 2
Source: RefSeq, a predicted model, not a curated record